AAUCAACCAAAUUACAAACCCACAACUUCAAUCCACUUGUCGUUGCAUUCCCUUUUCUCACCCACAAAGGGACAAUAAUAUGGUGGUGUUUGAAAGCCACAAAGGCAAAGGGAAGAGAAGAAGAAGCAAGAGCUUGAAGAAGUUUACAAGAGGCAGCCAAAGUCUCUCCUCUCACACAAUAGGGCAAAACACAUGGUUCUUGCAAAAGGAGGAUGCAUAUAUAGUUUUAGGUAUAUUACCAAUUGGGCCAAGACACAAAGUAAUAGGCAAGAUACAAGGAAGCCCUCUUAUAUGUGGAUUUGGGCCAAGACAGCAUUAAACUCAAUUAAGCUGCAACUAAUAGUCCACGUUAUUUUCAGAUCGAGUAUAUAAAUUGAUUGGUUGAUAAAUAUUUCACUCAUCGGCCUCGACCUAUGAAAUACAAUCCGACACUGUUUAAUAUUAUUGUCCGGGAUUUAUUUGAUAUCAAAACCCAACAAUCCUAAGCCUAAUUCUCUCAAAAUCCAAUUGAUGGUCAUUGUCUAUUCGCAUUGUUGGAAUUCUUAUUCGUUCCUAUUGUUUGGAUUUCCGCAACAGCUCCAAUUUGUUAUCAUCGUAUGGAAUUCUGUAACAGGCUUUGUUUGACUUUUGGAUAGCUACAGUUUGUUGAGAUUGUGGUAGAUCAAAUUCAAAAUCAUUCCAACUUACAAAAAUCACCUAAGCAAUAGCGCAUAUCACAAAUUCUAUCUAAAAACAAAAGCAACCCAACUUUUGAGUAUCAAAAAUAUUUUAAUUCCAUUCUCACGUUUAAAUAAUAUCCAAAACUAAUAUUAUCAAGUCCUGUUACUACAAUUUACUAAUUAUGUCGAGCACAGCAUAUACGAACUCGUAGCAAUAAAGUGGGAUUAUUAGAUAACCCACAAAAUGGAACGCAGAAUGUAUAAAAUAAAAAUUGACACGGCAAUGAACAACAUUUUCUGUGUACACUGUUCC
RNAcentral lists this long non-coding RNA (972 nucleotides) under Olea europaea subsp. europaea. The record is from RNAcentral. Lineage: Eukaryota; Viridiplantae; Streptophyta; Magnoliopsida; Lamiales; Oleaceae.